CGAGUCUGCCUUGAAGAUCGGAGUGCUUGCACUCUGUGAAACAAGAUACAGGCUAGCGGCGGACGGGUGAGUAACACGUGGGUAACCUGCCCAAGAGAUCGGGAUAACACCUGGAAACAGAUGCUAAUACCGGAUAACAACAGAUGAUGCCUAUCAACUGUUUAAAAGAUGGUUCUGCUAUCACUCUUGGAUGGACCUGCGGUGCAUUAGCUAGUUGGUAGGGUAACGGCCUACCAAGGCGAUGAUGCAUAGCCGAGUUGAGAGACUGAUCGGCCACAUUGGGACUGAGACACGGCCCAAACUCCUACGGGAGGCAGCAGUAGGGAAUCUUCCACAAUGGACGCAGGUCUGAUGGAGCAACGCCGCGUGAGUGAAGAAGGGUUUCGGCUCGUAAAGCUCUGUUGUUGGUGAA
This 412-nucleotide ribosomal RNA is filed under the name uncultured Lactobacillus sp. RNAcentral describes it as "bacterial SSU rRNA". It matches the Rfam family "Bacterial small subunit ribosomal RNA", at positions 58 to 446 of the family's 1533-position model. The record is from RNAcentral. Lineage: Bacteria; Bacillati; Bacillota; Bacilli; Lactobacillales; Lactobacillaceae.